CCUACGGGGGGCUGCAGUGGGGAAUAUGGACAAUGGGGGGAACCCUGAUCCAGCCAUGCCGCGUGUGUGAAGAAGGCCCUCGGGUUGUAAAGCACUUUCAGUGAGGAAGAACGCCUGGGGGUUCAUACCCAUCAGGAAAGACAUCACUCACAGAAGAAGCACCGGCUAACUCCGUGCCAGCAGCCGCGGUAAUACGGAGGGUGCGAGCGUUAAUCGGAAUUACUGGGCGUAAAGCGCGCGUAGGUGGCUUGAUAAGCCGGUUGUGAAAGCCCCGGGCUCAACCUGGGAACGGCAUCCGGAACUGUCAAGCUAGAGUGCAGGAGAGGAAGGUAGAAUUCCCGGUGUAGCGGUGAAAUGCGUAGAGAUCGGGAGGAAUACCAGUGGCGAAGGCGGCCUUCUGGACUGACACUGACACUGAGGUGCGAAAGCGUGGGUAGCAAACAGGAUUAGAUACCCCAGUAGUC
Molecule: ribosomal RNA, 464 nt
Filed under: Vreelandella stevensii
Lineage: Bacteria; Pseudomonadati; Pseudomonadota; Gammaproteobacteria; Oceanospirillales; Halomonadaceae
Description: partial 16S ribosomal RNA
Rfam family: Bacterial small subunit ribosomal RNA
Source: RNAcentral